GGGAGGUAGUGACAAUAAAUAACAAUACGGGGUUCUUUUGGAUCUCGUAAUUGGAAUGAGUACAAUUUAAAUCUCUUAACGAGAACCAAUUGGAGGGCAAGUCUGGUGCCAGCAGCCGCGGUAAUUCCAGCUCCAAUAGCGUAUAUUAAAGUUGCUGCAGUUAAAAAGCUCGUAGUUGAAUUUCGGGACCAUCAUGUCGGUCGUGCUUCAGUACGUACUGGUAUUGUUGGUUUCUCCCUUCUGACGAACCAUGAUGUCAUUUAUUUGGUGUUGUGGGGAAUCAGGACUGUUACUUUGAAAAAAUUAGAGUGUUUAAAGCAGGCUAACGCUUGAAUACAUUAGCAUGGAAUAAUGAAAUAGGACGUUCGAUCCUAUUUUGUUGGUUUCUAGGAUUGACGUAAUGAUUAAUAGGGAUAGUUGGG
Molecule: ribosomal RNA, 422 nt
Filed under: uncultured Glomeraceae
Lineage: Eukaryota; Fungi; Glomeromycota; Glomeromycetes; Glomerales; Glomeraceae
Description: SSU rRNA
Rfam family: Eukaryotic small subunit ribosomal RNA
Source: RNAcentral